RNAcentral lists this ribosomal RNA (253 nucleotides) under uncultured bacterium. Its description in RNAcentral is "partial 16S ribosomal RNA". It matches the Rfam family "Bacterial small subunit ribosomal RNA", at positions 524 to 776 of the family's 1533-position model. The record is from RNAcentral.
UACGGAGGGUGCAAGCGUUAUCCGGAUUCACUGGGUUUAAAGGGUGCGUAGGCGGGUAUAUAAGUCAGUGGUGAAAGCUCCGAGCUUAACUUGGAAACUGCCAUUGAUACUGUAUAUCUUGAAUGUCGUUGAGGUUAGCGGAAUGUUGCAUGUAGCGGUGAAAUGCUUAGAGAUCCGGAAGAACACCGGUGGCGAAGGCGGCCUGCUGGGUUCUGGCUGACACUGAGGCGCGACAGCGUGGGGAGCAAACAGG